This 264-nucleotide ribosomal RNA is filed under the name uncultured bacterium. RNAcentral describes it as "partial 16S ribosomal RNA". It matches the Rfam family "Bacterial small subunit ribosomal RNA", at positions 793 to 1055 of the family's 1533-position model. The record is from RNAcentral.
GUCCACGCCGUAAACGAUGAUUACUAGGUGUUGGUGGGUACGACCCAUCGGUGCCGCAGCAAACGCAGUAAGUAAUCCACCUGGGGAGUACGUUCGCAAGAAUGAAACUCAAAGGAAUUGACGGGGACCCCGCACAAGCGGUGGAGCAUGUGGUUUAAUUCGAAGCAACGCGAAGAACCUUACCUGGUCUUGACAUCCCUAUGAAUAACGGGCAAUGCCGUUAGUACUUCGGUACAUAGGAGACAGGUGGUGCAUGGUUGUCGU